RNAcentral lists this ribosomal RNA (500 nucleotides) under uncultured Glomeromycotina. RNAcentral describes it as "partial small subunit ribosomal RNA". It matches the Rfam family "Eukaryotic small subunit ribosomal RNA", at positions 591 to 1092 of the family's 1831-position model. The record is from RNAcentral. Lineage: Eukaryota; Fungi; Glomeromycota.
CCAAUAGCGUAUAUUAAAGUUGUUGCAGUUAAAAAGCUCGUAGUUGAAUUUCGGGGUUAGUAGGUUGGUCAUGCCUCUGGUAUGUACUGGUCCCACUGAUUCCUCCUUCCUGAUGAGCCGUAAUGCCAUUAAUUUGGUGUUGCGGGGAAUUUAGACUGUUACUUUGAAAAAAUUAGAGUGUUUAAAGCAAGCUAACGCUUGAAUACAUUAGCUUGGAAUAAUGAAAUAGGACGUUCGAUCCUAUUUUGUUGGUUUCUAGGAUUGACGUAAUGAUUAAUAGGGAUAGUUGGGGGCAUUAGUAUUCAAUUGUCAGAGGUGAAAUUCUUGGAUUUAUUGAAGACUAACUACUGCGAAAGCAUUUGCCAAGGAUGUUUUCAUUAAUCAAGAACGAAAGUUAGGGGAUCGAAGACGAUCAGAUACCGUCGUAGUCUUAACCAUAAACUAUGCCGACUAGGGAUCGGAUGAUGUUAAUUUUUUAAUGACUCAUUCGGCGCCUUACG